RNAcentral lists this RNase P RNA (358 nucleotides) under marine eukaryotic metagenome. RNAcentral describes it as "Bacterial RNase P class A". It matches the Rfam family "Bacterial RNase P class A". Rfam says of the family: Ribonuclease P (RNase P) is a ubiquitous endoribonuclease, found in archaea, bacteria and eukarya as well as chloroplasts and mitochondria. The record is from RNAcentral.
GAGCCGGCCGGACAGUCGCUGCGUCCUUGUGGCGUGGAGGAAAGUCCGGGCUUCACAGGGCAGGGUGCCAGGUAACGCCUGGGGGGCGCGAGCCCACGGAAAGUGCCACAGAAAAUAUACCGCCUAAGCACGUCAGUGCCGGCAAGGUUGAAAUGGUGCGGUAAGAGCGCACCGCACCUCUGGUAACAGAGGUGGCAGGGUAAACCCCACCUGAAGCAAGACCGAAUAGAGGAACAGUGCCCUUCGGGGCCGACAUGUGGCCCGCAUGGUUCCCGGGUAGGUCGCAUGAGGUUACCGGUGACGGUAAUCCCAGAUGAAUGGCUGUUCACGACAGAACCCGGCUUACAGGCCGGCUCCA